Molecule: non-coding RNA, 833 nt
Organism: Gasterosteus aculeatus aculeatus (three-spined stickleback)
Lineage: Eukaryota; Metazoa; Chordata; Actinopteri; Perciformes; Gasterosteidae
Source: RefSeq, a predicted model, not a curated record
CGGAACCGUGUCAGUCUUCCGCGUCAUUCACCCUUCGUGGUUGUUCGGCGCUGCUACAGAUCCCCGGCUGUCGGAGCCGCGUAGCUCCCUAACACAGAGCGGCGUGAUCGCCCGAGCGGUCUCCUUCACGGCGACGUCAGUAACCGGUUCGAGUGGGACUGGGCGGUCGUACCGGAGGAUCUCGGCCCCCGUUAUCAGUCCAACUAGCUGCUGUUUUGCCUUCACGCCUUCUGCCUCCCUCGGUUUGCGUACAUGUGUUUUUUGGACUGCGUUGCCUCAAUUGUUUUGGGCCGGACCGCCUGCACCGUUGUGCUCGGACGGCUUUACCCGGAUGAACAAUUUUAGCGUGACGUUCGAUCUUCUCCUUCCCCUUGACUUAUUGGGUCGACGGAGUCAUCAUCUUGUUUUCUUUAUUGUUUAGUUUGUUCUGUAUUUGUGUUUCUUUAUAACCGGGUGAGUGACCCCGGUUGUAUGUACGCGUGUUUUUAACAUUGUGUUGGUGGUGGUGUGGUGUCCCGGUGGUGGUGUCCCGGUGGUGGUGUCCCGGUGGUGGUGUCCCUGACGACAGCAAACAGCUCGUUUGCUGUCGUCAUUUGCUUUGCUGUGCUCACUAUUUUGUUUUUGUGUUCCCGAGUGUCUUCUCUUGAAACCUCCCCCGCUGCCCUCGUGUCCCUCCACAACCACCGGUAAGCCUCCGCGUUCAUUAUUUUGUUCAUUAUUUUGACCAUUAUUACCCCCAUUAAUUCCCCUUUUGUUGUGGAGAUUGUGAGCGUGUUUUAAAUUGUUUUAUGGAUCCUGUUAUUUUAUUGUAAUAAACAAUGUACAUUGAACCA